Molecule: non-coding RNA, 5899 nt
Organism: Sus scrofa (pig)
Lineage: Eukaryota; Metazoa; Chordata; Mammalia; Artiodactyla; Suidae
Source: RefSeq, a predicted model, not a curated record
GGGAUUAAACCUACGGCGUAGCAGCAACCCGUGCCACAGCAGUGACAACACUGGUUCCUUAACCACUAGGCCACCAGGGAAUCCCUCUCUCCUCUAUUUUAGAACCUCAAAAAAGUCUGCUGUGUGAUGCUCUGAGGUCGUGGGUGCGGCGGUUGUGGAACAUGCUGCUCAGGGCUUCUUGGAGAGAAUCUGCUGUAGGGAGUAGAGUUACAUCAGCCUCUGGCUGCUGCACCCCUGGAACACAUUAGUGUUCAUGCCAAGGCCACUGCCCCUGGGCUGCCACAGCCAGUGACAGCACACAGCAGGGACUCUAAGCCGGCCACUCCUGGCCUCUGCAGGACUCCUGCAGUGGUGACCUUGGCUUGCAAUCUCCCCAUCUGUCUGCUCAGGACUUUCUCAGGGCUGCUCUGUGGCCUGAGGCUCUUCCUACCAAUCCUCUCCCCACCUCCUUUUCUCUCUUCAUGGGUGUCAGAUCCGCAUCCGGCCCAAGGUUCCCCCUAACUACUCCUGCGCCCCCUUUUUCCUUCGGAAGCACAUUCCUCUAGAAAUCGCUUGCGUUUCUAAUUCUGUCUUGGUGAGUGACCUCAGAGGACCUGAACGGACUCAGGGGGAUGUUUUUCUUGGGGAUGGGGCGUGGAGAGUGUGGGAUUUGGAGCAGUUUCCGUGGUGGGGUGAUGUGGUGUGGAAAAGGACAGUGCGUACGGGAGGCGAGGGGCCGAGUGGGCUCGGAGGAUGUGGCAGAAGCAGAAAGCCAGAGCCUAGACGUGGCUAGAAGAUUAAGCCUCUGGGAACAUCUCAAGAUUUGGGGUGAGAGGCCGGGGUUCCCAUUUCAUUUUUACCUUAGAGGAUAAGAGAGCCUCAGCAGCUGGAGGACUUUAUAACCAGGCGUCUUGCUGUGCACGAGCAGGUGCAAAGCCAGAAAGUUCACACUGUGCUUUGUGGAGGGGACCUGCAGCCUGGGGGGGCACGGAGGGUGGUCAGAGAGCUGGCCAUUGUUCCCGCGCCACCUAACCUGGGGCUCCGCAGAGGAAGCUGGUGAGGCUGCUGAAUGCAAAGAAACCUUCUGUUCUCAGGGAGCGCUGUUUCCUGGUCCGGAUGGAUUACAUCAGCUACCCAGUGAACCUGGGAAUGAUGUCACCGAGUCCCAGUUAGUGACCAUUAAGAAGUUGGGAAGAAGGAAAGCCCUAUGAGCUGGGAAUGGAACUAUGUCAGUGGGGUAUCCAAAUGAAACCAGGUCCUCCUGGUUUGAUGAGUAUGAUUUUUUUUUCCAAGGGGAGUUAAGGACAUUUAUUUCACAUGUACAUUCUGUACAUUUUCUCUAAAUCAUGCAGAGCUGAAAUAUUUACGGUCAUCUCUUGCCUGCUCCCAGGCUCUGGCUCGCUUCUGGCACCCAGUGAUACAGAUGUGGACACUGAACUUGGCCUCCCGGCCCCCAGGUUCCUGGGCCUGGCAGCCGGCAGCUCCUAGGACCCUCCUCCUCCCAACUACUCUGUUCCCUCCUGCCAGAGGCCCAGCAGACCAUAGGAACACGGCCGCUCAGCUAGCAGCAGUCUGAGGGGCCCUGCUGCAGAGGCUGCGGCAGGCAGCAGUCAGGCUUGCACUGUGGGCGGUAGCUGUCAGCUUGGGAGAUGCACAGGCAAGCAGGGAGCUCGCCACACUGCUGUCACCUUAGCAUUUUCAUGAAAUCGCUCGAGUCUGCAAUACGGUCUGUAUCUCUCCGGAAGGCCACCUCUGCCUCACUUACCUCCAUUGUCCAAGAACCCUGAGACCCACUUGGUCUAAAGUGGGGAGGUGAUGCGUGCUAAUAUUAUUGGCUACGCUAAGUGCUUUCCGCGUACUUUAUCAAGCUAUGUUUAUAUAACUAAGAGGGUCCGCUAACGGGACUUUUCCUGAGCAAAGAAAAGUCUGCUCCAUGCUCUGGUAUACAUUUUAAAUGCUCUCAGACACAGUUAGCCAAAAGUGUCAGGUGGAUUCUAUCAGCUCACCAUCAGUUAUUUGAUGAGAUGCUCAACAAGAUUCUGGAAUAGGUUAUGAUGGCAGUUUCAACAGCAGUCGUCUGAUGAAAAAUGGAAGAAUUAGCCUUGUUAACUGAGGGUAUCUGGCUCUGCAUGGCCUUGGGAGAUGUAAAAAUCACUGUGUAAGAAAAAGGCAGCUCCUGCAAAAAGUUACUUCCCGUGGUUUUAUCUCUGAACUGCCUUUUCUGUUCCCGUACCUCUGACGGCUUCUCCUCUGCUCCUGACCCUCUGAGCUAACAAAUGUACCGUUCCACAUCUUUCUUCUGUUCCCUGUUCUACCUUCUGACUCGAUGUUCCAUUUCCCCUCAGAUAUGACCAUUGCUUUUCCUGGCAAAGACGCUGGUCCUCGUCGCCUCUGCAGCCUUCAGAUGAGAUCACAGCCUUGAUCAGUAGUGGAACAGCAACCUCCUGCGGGACCUUGAGCCAUGGAUUUCUGACAUUUGAGAAGAUAAUUUGUUACACAGCAGACAACCAGCAUAAAUGGGUACAUAAAAUUCCCCCUUUUGGUCCCAUGUCAUCCAGGACGCCAUAUUUUCAAAUUUUGGAUGACUGUUUUGUGCUGAGCUCCAAAGGAUGCAGAGGUGCUGUGCUCGACUCUGAGGAUACAGACAUGAGCAACACCAGGUCCAGUCACUGGCCUCACGGAGCUUCAUCGGAGACAUGCUUUCUGGACCCAACAAGUCACUCAUCACUCUCCAGAUAUGCUUCAUGCUUUUCCUCUCUAGGCUUGUCCUCUACCUGGAUUGUAUUUCUUCCCCAUGGUCUUUUGUUUUGUUUUGUUUUAUUCUGAACACUUUCUUUUUUUGUUGUUACUUAAUAAAUUUUAUUACAUUUAUAGGCGUACAACAAUCAUCACAACCAAAUUUUAUAGCAUGUCCAUCAUUUGUUGAAUUAUUCAAAAGGCAUACGGGAGCUCUGAGGUGGCCUAGCAGGUUGACAAUCAGGUGCUGUCACUGCUGUGGCUCAGGUCACUGCUGUAGUGCAGGUUUGAUCCCUGAUCCAGGAAUUUUGGCAUUCCAUGGGCAUGUCCUAAAGAGAGAGAGAGAGAGAGAGAGAGAGAGAGAGAGAGAGAGAGAGAGAGAGAGAGAGAAAGAAAAGAAAAGAAAAGAAAAGAAAAGAAACCGGCUCAAUAAAUUCUUAAAAAAAAAAAAAAAAAAAAAAAGAAAGGCCAGACAUAAGUCUUGCUUCCUCCAAAACGCUUCCAGAUUCCCCAAACUGGGAUUAAUUCAUUUAUACUCCAAAGGCCAUUUGUAGUUCUGUUAUAAUUCAUCAUGGUACAAGAAAAAGACCAUGAACUUUGAUGCUAAAAAACACUGGGUUCAAAUCCUGUUUCUUUCACUUACUGACCACAUAAUUUGGAGCAAAAUACAUAGGUCUUAAAAGUCAGAUUCUCCAUUAUGAAACAGAAAUAAUAAUGUCUAUCUCACAGGUUGUUAUAUAGAGCAAAUAAUACAGAUGGAAACAAUAUCAUGGCACAAAAGAUGGUCCAACUUUUAUGCUGUGUUUGUGGAAAUGGCUGGUUAGUCUACCUCUGCAGAAGUGUUAAAGGGAAAUAGUCCAUAAUAGAUACAGUCUUUCACCAUGGCAACAUCACUUUACCUGCUCUUUGAGUUGAAUAUGCUCUCACAUAUUCAAUUCCUACUCUGAACCAGCCAUUCUAUAUAGUCUUAUUUAGUUAUUGCCAACCCUAUGAAAUAUACACUAUCUCUCAUGUUUGAUAUUAUUUAUUAGCCAUCAGCUUUUAUGUCCACCCUUUUCUAUGCUUCUCCUUGUGUUCAAAGGGCUAGAAGCUCAAGAACUAUAUUUCUGGAUGCAAUUUAAAUGCCUCAAUGAGCUACACUCAAAAUAUUUGGAAAGGGAGAGGUAGUCAAAUGCAUUCUUCCAAAAGAGGUGGAGGCAGACAUGGCAGCCUUGGCAGAUAGGAGUUUUGCAGGUCUGGCCAGACUUCAUGUUCUGUUAGUAGUGCCCAGGCUUGAGGCUGUUUUUCCCAAUAGCCAUAGAUAGAGAAAAUUUGGAGAAGCACUCUACUUGGCCCAUCUUGUGUCCCAUGUCCAUCUCUGGACCAACUACUAUGGCCAGGAAAACGAAGUUCCCUAAGAAUAUGGCAGCUCCCGUUCUGAAAAUGUUUCCACAGAAGUCCCCCAAAUUAAGUGGAGUAACACAGACAAGGCCACAGAGGAAUCAGCUUAUCCUGAGUCUCCCCCAAAGCAGUCUUGCUUACAGGUAGUUUAUUUUAGAAGUAAUCCCAAGGAGCAAGACUGAAGGUCAGAGGAGUAAAACAGGGAAGAAGAAAAAAAUAACCCCCAAAUUUCAUGAUGUCUUAUUGAUUUAGUGACCGUUCUGGGUAGCUGGUACACAAUACUGCCAGCAUGUGUUAUUAUUUUGGCUUGUUUACUUGGCUGAAAGAAGGGUCACUUUUAAGUUUCUUACCGUAAUGGCUCUUCAUAGGUUGGGGAACAAAGUGAGUGUUCUCCCAGCUACUAACUGUAUACAUCCCAACUGCAGACUCAGAAACCAGAGAAAUAACCAUAGAGUAGACCAAUAGAUCCGCUGAACCCCUCUGAGACUUACUUGAGCUAGAAUUCCAUUCUUAACCUGGCCUCCCUAUGACCUCAUUUCAACUGGAGGAUAAUUUCAGGACCCUUGAGUUAGUAUGAACACAGAGCAGAGUCCCUAUAUUCAACUGUUCUUUAAAAGUCCAAGGAUUCCCAUUUUGUCAGUUUCUACUAACCAGAUAAACAGUUUUAGAUUAACCUAUGGGAAGGAUCCUGGGACUGUUUAUCAUACAUGCUUGUGGCAGCCCUGCGUUGUCUUUGUUCAAGGGGAUCCACCUCUCCUUCGAUGAGAGGGCUUUGGGUCUGUGAAAUAAUGUAUUUGGAAACUGAGUAGGGACGCUUUUCCUCUGAAGGGAAAGCUGGUGAAGGUUCUUCCAUUCAUCAGCUCUUGAUUUUUUUCUUUUUUACAAGUCGAGUAACAUUCUGAUUGGCUCUCCAUCUCUCUCCCCCAAGGGAAUACCAUGAUUUAUUAAGUACUGCUACCAAUUCCGAGGGGUCAAGGUGUAUUGAGUCCUUCUACAGAUAGCCUAUCAUGACCUGUGUUCCCUUUAUUCUAAUAGUCAGGUGCUGCCACUGGCCUCUGCAAUUCCGCAAUCCUAUCGUCUCCCGAUAUUAGCAAUUCCCUUCCCCUUGCAACACCUUCUUUCUGCCAACCCAGCCUACACAGCCUACGUGGGAUAGUUAUCACAGAGCUUCCUAACUUAACCGGUGCCCCUGAGCCAUGCAUUCCUCUUGCUUUAGUGAAAAAAAGUGUCCUCUGGGUCCUUCCAGGGAACAUUGUUGAGUGCCAGUUUCUCUGAUCACACAAAAUAAAUUUAUCCUAAUAUUUUUACCUCCUUGAAUCUUUGUCUUCCUUCUUCAAUAUUAUGCAGUUCCACCUCAUUUAUACUAGGCUGUUAUCAUGCACAAGCUGCAGAGAGCCAUCUUUCUGGCAUGUAGACAGGCUCCUGGUGUCCUCGGCAGAGCACUGAGCUGCAAGUCAUGGAAGAGGACUCGUGUGUCAAUAAACUAUCCUCCACCCAGCUUUACAUCCCCACUUGCCACCACCACCCCUGAUCCAGAAUCCCCAAGCUCCCCUUCCAUAUAUAUUCUCCUGAAAUAGUCAUAUUCAUCAAGUCCUGAAAUUUUUUUGGCUGGUAGGCUACCUCUUGCCACAAUAGAAGCUAUAUUUCUGCUCUGGGACUAUGCUUAUAUAUCAACUAUGCUUCGUUACCAACCAGAAGGUAAUGAGGGAAGGCAGGUCAGAUCUUGAGGAAGAUACUCAUAACCUUGAGAGGAACUUGCCUCAGGUGUGGUUUUUCAAAUGUCUCCAAAAUAUUGCUCUCUUCC